UCUCUUAAUUUCUAUUGAAAGAUAAGCUUUGCAAAAGCUUUUUUGUGGUUAAAGACUACUAAGAGAG
RNAcentral lists this transfer RNA (67 nucleotides) under Rhabdopleura sp. NHMO H2136. RNAcentral describes it as "tRNA-Cys". Lineage: Eukaryota; Metazoa; Hemichordata; Pterobranchia; Rhabdopleurida; Rhabdopleuridae. The record is from RNAcentral.